UCAAAUAUCCCGGAAACAGGUGGCCUUGUCACACAAGGCUGAAAAGGGAAGCCGGUGAAAAUCCGGCGCGGUCGCGCCACUGUGAGGGGGACGCCCCUGCACAACGCCACUGUCCUGCAUCCAGGAUGGGAAGGCGCAGGAGCUAAUGAACCCGAGCCAGGAGACCUGCCUGUUUUCCGUCCAUCAC
Molecule: non-coding RNA, 187 nt
Filed under: Thermacetogenium phaeum
Lineage: Bacteria; Bacillati; Bacillota; Clostridia; Thermoanaerobacterales; Thermoanaerobacteraceae
Also listed under: 1 other name
Source: RNAcentral